RNAcentral lists this ribosomal RNA (839 nucleotides) under Ophiocordyceps issidarum. RNAcentral's name for it is "LSU rRNA". It matches the Rfam family "Eukaryotic large subunit ribosomal RNA", at positions 52 to 915 of the family's 3401-position model. Lineage: Eukaryota; Fungi; Ascomycota; Sordariomycetes; Hypocreales; Ophiocordycipitaceae. The record is from RNAcentral.
CGAGGAAAGAACCAACAGGGAUUGCCCCAGUACCGGCGAGUGAAGCGGCAACAGCUCAAAUUUGAAAUCCGGCGCCCCCGCGGCGCCCGAGUUGUAAUUUGCAGAGGACGCUUCCGGCGCGGCGCCUUCCGAGUUCCCUGGAACGGGACGCCACAGAGGGUGAGAGCCCCGUCCGGUCGGACGCCAAGCCCGCGUGAAGCCCCCUCGACGAGUCGAGUAGUUUGGGAAUGCUGCUCUAAACGGGAGGUAUAUGUCUUCUAAAGCUAAAUACCGGCCAGAGACCGAUAGCGCACAAGUAGAGUGAUCGAAAGAUGAAAAGCACUUUGAAAAGAGGGUUAAACAGUACGUGAAAUUGUUGAAAGGGAAGCGCUCGUGACCAGACUCGGGCGCGGAGGAUCACCCGGCCCUCUCGCCGGUGCACUCCGCCGCGCCCGGGCCAGCAUCGGCUCGCCGCGGGGGACAAAGGCGCCGGGAACGUGGCUCCCACGGGAGUGUUAUAGCCCGGCGCGCAAUGCCCCGCGGCGGACCGAGGUUCGCGCGUCCGCAAGGAUGCUGGCGUAAUGGUCACCAGCGACCCGUCUUGAAACACGGGCCAAGGAGUCGUCCUCGUAUGCGAGUGUUCGGGUGUCAAACCCCUACGCGCAAUGAAAGUGAACGCGGGUGAGAGCCCCCCGGGGCGCAUCAUCGACCGAUCCCGAUGUUCUCGGACGGAUUUGAGUAGGAGCAUACGGGGCCGGACCCGAAAGAAGGUGAACUAUGCCUGUGUAGGGUGAAGCCAGAGGAAACUCUGGUGGAGGCUCGCAGCGGUUCUGACGUGCAAAUCGAUCGUCAAACAUGGG